GUCCCAGUAGCUCAGCUGGAUAGAGCGCAAGCUUGCGGAGCUUGAGGUCGCAGGUUCAACUCCUGCCUGGGACGCCA
Molecule: transfer RNA, 77 nt
Filed under: Candidatus Buchananbacteria bacterium RIFCSPLOWO2_01_FULL_45_31
Lineage: Bacteria; Candidatus Buchananiibacteriota
Also listed under: 1 other name
Description: tRNA-Arg
Rfam family: tRNA
About the family: Transfer RNA (tRNA) molecules are approximately 80 nucleotides in length. Their secondary structure includes four short double-helical elements and three loops (D, anti-codon, and T loops). Further hydrogen bonds mediate the characteristic L-shaped molecular structure. tRNAs have two regions of fundamental functional importance: the anti-codon, which is responsible for specific mRNA codon recognition, and the 3' end, to which the tRNAs corresponding amino acid is attached (by aminoacyl-tRNA synthetases). tRNAs cope with the degeneracy of the genetic code in two manners: having more than one tRNA (with a specific anti-codon) for a particular amino acid; and 'wobble' base-pairing, i.e. permitting non-standard base-pairing at the 3rd anti-codon position.
Source: RNAcentral